UGAACGCUGGCGGCGUGCCUAAUACAUGCAAGUCGAGCGAACAGACGAGGAGCUUGCUCCUCUGACGUUAGCGGCGGACGGGUGAGUAACACGUGGAUAACCUACCUAUAAGACUGGGAUAACUUCGGGAAACCGGAGCUAAUACCGGAUAAUAUAUUGAACCGCAUGGUUCAAUAGUGAAAGACGGUUUUGCUGUCACUUAUAGAUGGAUCCGCGCCGCAUUAGCCAGUUGGUAAGGUAACGGCUUACCAAGGCAACGAUGCGUAGCCGACCUGAGAGGGUGAUCGGCCACACUGGAACUGAGACACGGUCCAGACUCCUACGGGAGGCAGCAGUAGGGAAUCUUCCGCAAUGGGCGAAAGCUUGACGGAGCAACGCCGCGUGAGUGAUGAAGGUCUUCGGAUCGUAAAACUCUGUUAUUAGGGAAGAACAAAUGUGUAAGUAACUAUGCACGUCUUGACGGUACCUAAUCAGAAAGCCACGGCUAACUACGUG
This 495-nucleotide ribosomal RNA is filed under the name uncultured bacterium. RNAcentral describes it as "partial 16S ribosomal RNA". It matches the Rfam family "Bacterial small subunit ribosomal RNA", at positions 30 to 507 of the family's 1533-position model. The record is from RNAcentral.